AGGAAAAUAAACUAUCCUAAUGGCAAUGUGAACACGGCAUCCACUGUUUCCCAACUCUGUUAUAACUCAUAGAUCAUCAGUUUCCUCCCGAUUCCUUGCUUUCUGAGAAGAAUGACUGGACCGAUCACAUCUUUGGAGAUGGCAGCUGACGAAGCAUGACGAAGUACAGAUGACUCAGACUGUAGUUUUCGCUUUAAUCCCUCUUUUG
Molecule: long non-coding RNA, 208 nt
Filed under: Lathyrus oleraceus (garden pea)
Lineage: Eukaryota; Viridiplantae; Streptophyta; Magnoliopsida; Fabales; Fabaceae
Description: Pisum sativum (pea) long non-coding RNA (PSAT_LNC025454)
Source: RNAcentral